CGACAAGCCCGGGUAUACAGUGCUCCCACACCAGCAGAUGCGGGGAAUCCGGUGAGAAUCCGGAGCGGUCGCGCCACUGUGUCCCGCGGGAGAACCGCGGGGAGUCAGGUCGCCGUACCUGCUGGUCCGGA
Molecule: non-coding RNA, 131 nt
Filed under: Gordonia soli
Lineage: Bacteria; Bacillati; Actinomycetota; Actinomycetes; Mycobacteriales; Gordoniaceae
Source: RNAcentral